GACGAACGCUGGCGGCGUGCUUAACACAUGCCAGUCGAACGGAAAGGCCCUGCUUUUGUGGGGUGCUCGAGUGGCGAACGGGUGAGUAACACGUGAGUAACCUGCCCUUGACUUUGGGAUAACUUCAGGAAACUGGGGCUAAUACCGGAUAGGAGCUCCUGCUGCAUGGUGGGGGUUGGAAAGUUUCGGCGGGUGGGGAUGGACUCGGGGCUUAUCAGCUUGUUGGUGGGGUAGUGGCUUACCAAGGCUUUGACGGGUAGCCGGCCUGAGAGGGUGACCGGCCACAUUGGGACUGCGAUACGGCCCAGACUCCUACGGGAGGCAGCAGUGGGGAAUAUUGCACAAUGGGCGGAAGCCUGAUGCAGCAACGCCGCGUGCGGGAUGACGGCCUUCGGGUUGUAAACCGCUUUCGCCUGUGACGAAGCGUGAGUGACGGUAAUGGGUAAAGAAGCACCGGCUAACUACGUG
RNAcentral lists this ribosomal RNA (468 nucleotides) under uncultured bacterium. Its description in RNAcentral is "partial 16S ribosomal RNA". It matches the Rfam family "Bacterial small subunit ribosomal RNA", at positions 28 to 507 of the family's 1533-position model. The record is from RNAcentral.